Molecule: unclassified non-coding RNA, 417 nt
Filed under: uncultured fungus
Lineage: Eukaryota; Fungi
Description: partial contains small subunit ribosomal RNA, internal transcribed spacer 1, and 5.8S ribosomal RNA
Rfam family: Eukaryotic small subunit ribosomal RNA (bases 1-73)
Source: RNAcentral
GCAAACUUGGUCAUUUAGAGGAAGUAAAAGUCGUAACAAGGUUUCCGUAGGUGAACCUGCGGAAGGAUCAUUAUUGAAUAAACUGCCUUGAUGGGUUGUCGCUGGCCUCUUGAGGCAUGUGCACGCCUGUCUUGACUCUAUUCAUCCACCUGUGCACCUAUUGUAGUUCUGUACUCUCCAAAGGUCAAGAAAGCAGGCUUGUUGUUCAGUUGAGACACACUGGAUUUGAGGAUUGCCCCUAAAGCUUUCCUCUGUUGGCCUUGUGGAAUUGUACCUUUUUGAGGAUGGGGCUAUGUCUUUUAUCAUAAACUAUCUAGUAUGUUGCCAGAAUGUAUUCAAUGGGCCAUUGUGCCUAUAAAACCUUAUACAACUUUCAGCAACGGAUCUCUUGGCUCUCGCAUCGAUGAAGAACGCAGC